This 2902-nucleotide ribosomal RNA is filed under the name human gut metagenome. RNAcentral describes it as "bacterial LSU rRNA". It matches the Rfam family "Bacterial large subunit ribosomal RNA". The record is from RNAcentral.
UUAAGCGACUAAGCGUACACGGUGGAUGCCCUGGCAGUCAGAGGCGAUGAAGGACGUGCUAAUCUGCGAUAAGCGUCGGUAAGGUGAUAUGAACCGUUAUAACCGGCGAUUUCCGAAUGGGGAAACCCAGUGUGUUUCGACACACUAUCAUUAACUGAAUCCAUAGGUUAAUGAGGCGAACCGGGGGAACUGAAACAUCUAAGUACCCCGAGGAAAAGAAAUCAACCGAGAUUCCCCCAGUAGCGGCGAGCGAACGGGGAGCAGCCCAGAGCCUGAAUCAGUGUGUGUGUUAGUGGAAGCGUCUGGAAAGGCGCGCGAUACAGGGUGACAGCCCCGUACACAAAAAUGCACAUGCUGUGAGCUCGAUGAGUAGGGCGGGACACGUGGUAUCCUGUCUGAAUAUGGGGGGACCAUCCUCCAAGGCUAAAUACUCCUGACUGACCGAUAGUGAACCAGUACCGUGAGGGAAAGGCGAAAAGAACCCCGGCGAGGGGAGUGAAAAAGAACCUGAAACCGUGUACGUACAAGCAGUGGGAGCACGCUUAGGCGUGUGACUGCGUACCUUUUGUAUAAUGGGUCAGCGACUUAUAUUCUGUAGCAAGGUUAACCGAAUAGGGGAGCCGAAGGGAAACCGAGUCUUAACUGGGCGUUAAGUUGCAGGGUAUAGACCCGAAACCCGGUGAUCUAGCCAUGGGCAGGUUGAAGGUUGGGUAACACUAACUGGAGGACCGAACCGACUAAUGUUGAAAAAUUAGCGGAUGACUUGUGGCUGGGGGUGAAAGGCCAAUCAAACCGGGAGAUAGCUGGUUCUCCCCGAAAGCUAUUUAGGUAGCGCCUCGUGAAUUCAUCUCCGGGGGUAGAGCACUGUUUCGGCAAGGGGGUCAUCCCGACUUACCAACCCGAUGCAAACUGCGAAUACCGGAGAAUGUUAUCACGGGAGACACACGGCGGGUGCUAACGUCCGUCGUGAAGAGGGAAACAACCCAGACCGCCAGCUAAGGUCCCAAAGUCAUGGUUAAGUGGGAAACGAUGUGGGAAGGCCCAGACAGCCAGGAUGUUGGCUUAGAAGCAGCCAUCAUUUAAAGAAAGCGUAAUAGCUCACUGGUCGAGUCGGCCUGCGCGGAAGAUGUAACGGGGCUAAACCAUGCACCGAAGCUGCGGCAGCGACGCUUAUGCGUUGUUGGGUAGGGGAGCGUUCUGUAAGCCUGCGAAGGUGUGCUGUGAGGCAUGCUGGAGGUAUCAGAAGUGCGAAUGCUGACAUAAGUAACGAUAAAGCGGGUGAAAAGCCCGCUCGCCGGAAGACCAAGGGUUCCUGUCCAACGUUAAUCGGGGCAGGGUGAGUCGACCCCUAAGGCGAGGCCGAAAGGCGUAGUCGAUGGGAAACAGGUUAAUAUUCCUGUACUUGGUGUUACUGCGAAGGGGGGACGGAGAAGGCUAUGUUGGCCGGGCGACGGUUGUCCCGGUUUAAGCGUGUAGGCUGGUUUUCCAGGCAAAUCCGGAAAAUCAAGGCUGAGGCGUGAUGACGAGGCACUACGGUGCUGAAGCAACAAAUGCCCUGCUUCCAGGAAAAGCCUCUAAGCAUCAGGUAACAUCAAAUCGUACCCCAAACCGACACAGGUGGUCAGGUAGAGAAUACCAAGGCGCUUGAGAGAACUCGGGUGAAGGAACUAGGCAAAAUGGUGCCGUAACUUCGGGAGAAGGCACGCUGAUAUGUAGGUGAAGUCCCUCGCGGAUGGAGCUGAAAUCAGUCGAAGAUACCAGCUGGCUGCAACUGUUUAUUAAAAACACAGCACUGUGCAAACACGAAAGUGGACGUAUACGGUGUGACGCCUGCCCGGUGCCGGAAGGUUAAUUGAUGGGGUUAGCGCAAGCGAAGCUCUUGAUCGAAGCCCCGGUAAACGGCGGCCGUAACUAUAACGGUCCUAAGGUAGCGAAAUUCCUUGUCGGGUAAGUUCCGACCUGCACGAAUGGCGUAAUGAUGGCCAGGCUGUCUCCACCCGAGACUCAGUGAAAUUGAACUCGCUGUGAAGAUGCAGUGUACCCGCGGCAAGACGGAAAGACCCCGUGAACCUUUACUAUAGCUUGACACUGAACAUUGAGCCUUGAUGUGUAGGAUAGGUGGGAGGCUUGGAAGUGUGGACGCCAGUCUGCAUGGAGCCGACCUUGAAAUACCACCCUUUAAUGUUUGAUGUUCUAACGUGGACCCGUGAUCCGGGUUGCGGACAGUGUCUGGUGGGUAGUUUGACUGGGGCGGUCUCCUCCUAAAGAGUAACGGAGGAGCACGAAGGUUGGCUAAUCCUGGUCGGACAUCAGGAGGUUAGUGCAAUGGCAUAAGCCAGCUUGACUGCGAGCGUGACGGCGCGAGCAGGUGCGAAAGCAGGUCAUAGUGAUCCGGUGGUUCUGAAUGGAAGGGCCAUCGCUCAACGGAUAAAAGGUACUCCGGGGAUAACAGGCUGAUACCGCCCAAGAGUUCAUAUCGACGGCGGUGUUUGGCACCUCGAUGUCGGCUCAUCACAUCCUGGGGCUGAAGUAGGUCCCAAGGGUAUGGCUGUUCGCCAUUUAAAGUGGUACGCGAGCUGGGUUUAGAACGUCGUGAGACAGUUCGGUCCCUAUCUGCCGUGGGCGCUGGAGAACUGAGGGGGGCUGCUCCUAGUACGAGAGGACCGGAGUGGACGCAUCACUGGUGUUCGGGUUGUCAUGCCAAUGGCACUGCCCGGUAGCUAAAUGCGGAAGAGAUAAGUGCUGAAAGCAUCUAAGCACGAAACUUGCCCCGAGAUGAGUUCUCCCUGACCCUUUAAGGGUCCUGAAGGAACGUUGAAGACGACGACGUUGAUAGGCCGGGUGUGUAAGCGCAGCGAUGCGUUGAGCUAACCGGUACUAAUGAACCGUGAGGCUUAACCUU